Molecule: ribosomal RNA, 514 nt
Filed under: uncultured bacterium
Lineage: Bacteria
Description: partial 16S ribosomal RNA
Rfam family: Bacterial small subunit ribosomal RNA
Source: RNAcentral
GAUGAACGCUGGCGGCGCGCCUAAUACAUGCAAGUCGAGCGAACAGAUGAGAAGCUUGCUUCUCUGAUGUUAGCGGCGGACGGGUGAGUAACACGUGGGUAACCUACCUAUAAGAGUGGGAUAACUCCGGGAAAACGGGGCUAAUACCGGAACAUAGUUUGAACAGGAUGAUUCGAUAGUGAAAGACGGUUUCGGCUGUCACUUAUCGAUGGCCUCGCGCCGUAUUUGUUAGUUGGUAAGGUAACGGAUUACCAAGGCGACGAGACGUAGCCGACCUGAGAGGGUGAUCGGCCACACUGGGACUGAGACACGGUCCAGACUCCUACGGGAGGCAGCAGUAGGGAAUCUUCCGCAAUGGGCGAGGGCCUGACGGAGCAACGCCGCGUGAGUGAUGAAGGUCUUCGGAUCGUAAAACUCUGUUGUUAGGGAAGAACAAAUUUGUAAGUAACUGAACAAGUCUUGACGGUACCUAACCAGAAAGCCACGGCUAACUACGUGCCAGCCGCCGCGGUAA